This 77-nucleotide transfer RNA is filed under the name Streptomyces bauhiniae. RNAcentral's name for it is "Streptomyces sp. Bv016 tRNA-Arg". Lineage: Bacteria; Bacillati; Actinomycetota; Actinomycetes; Kitasatosporales; Streptomycetaceae. The record is from RNAcentral.
GCCCUGCGAAAGCAGCGGGGAUAGAGCCCCGCUCUCCUAAAGCGGGUGUCGCAGGUUCGAAUCCUGCCGGGCCACAA